Molecule: ribosomal RNA, 492 nt
Filed under: uncultured bacterium
Lineage: Bacteria
Description: partial 16S ribosomal RNA
Rfam family: Bacterial small subunit ribosomal RNA
Source: RNAcentral
AGUGAACGCUGGCGGUAGGCCUAACACAUGCAAGUCGAACGGCAGCACAGUAAGGGCUUGCUCUUACGGGUGGCGAGUGGCGGACGGGUGAGGAAUACAUCGGAAUCUACUUUUUCGUGGGGGAUAACGUAGGGAAACUUACGCUAAUACCGCAUACGACCUACGGGUGAAAGCAGGGGAUCUUCGGACCUUGCGCGAUUGAAUGAGCCGAUGUCGGAUUAGCUAGUUGGCGGGGUAAAGGCCCACCAAGGCGACGAUCCGUAGCUGGUCUGAGGGGAUGAUCAGCCACACUGGAACUGAGACACGGUCCAGACUCCUACGGGAGGCAGCAGUGGGGAAUAUUGGACAAUGGGCGCAAGCGUGAUCCAGCCAUACCGCGUGGGUGAAGAAGGCCUUCGGGUUGUAAAGCCCUUUUGUUGGGAAAGAAAAGCAGCAGGUUAAUACCCCGAUGUUCUGACGGUACCCAAAGAAUAAGCACCGGCUAACUUCGUG